AUGCAGUCGAGCGAGAAGCACUUCGGUGCGAGUACAGCGGCGGACGGGUGAGUAACGCGUAGGAAUCUACCUGGUAGUGGGGGACAACAUGGUGAAAACCAUGCUAAUACCGCAUACGCCCUAUGGGGGAAAGCGGGGGAUCUUCGGACCUCGCGCUAUUGGAUGAGCCUGCGUAAGAUUAGCUAGUUGGUGGGGUAAAAGCUCACCAAGGCGACGAUCUUUAGCUGGUCUGAGAGGAUGAUCAGCCACACUGGAACUGAGACACGGUCCAGACUCCUACGGGAGGCAGCAGUGGGGAAUAUUGCGCAAUGGGCGAAAGCCUGACGCAGCCAUGCCGCGUGUGUGAAGAAGGCCUUAGGGUUGUAAAGCACUUUCAAUUGGGAAGAAAGGUUGUACGUUAAUAGCGUGCAGCUGUGACAUUACCUUUAGAAGAAGCACCGGCUAACUCCGUG
Molecule: ribosomal RNA, 452 nt
Filed under: uncultured bacterium
Lineage: Bacteria
Description: bacterial SSU rRNA
Rfam family: Bacterial small subunit ribosomal RNA
Source: RNAcentral